GACGGAGGAUGCAAGCGUUAUCCGGAAUGAUUGGGCGUAAAGCGUCCGCAGGUGGCAGUUCAAGUCUGCUGUCAAAGACCGGGGCUUAACUUCGGAAAGGCAGUGGAAACUGAACAGCUAGAGUAUGGUAGGGGCAGAGGGAAUUCCUGGUGUAGCGGUGAAAUGCGUAGAGAUCAGGAAGAACAUCGGUGGCGAAAGCGGCGUGCUGGAUCUCUUCUGACGCUGAGGCUCGAAAGCUAGGGGAGCAAACGGG
This 253-nucleotide ribosomal RNA is filed under the name uncultured bacterium. RNAcentral describes it as "partial 16S ribosomal RNA". It matches the Rfam family "Bacterial small subunit ribosomal RNA", at positions 524 to 776 of the family's 1533-position model. The record is from RNAcentral.